GUGGAAAUUACUGCAUGCUAUAAGAUAAAUUCUUGAUCAAUUCCGGUAACGGUUAAGAGAAAAGAAGAUCCGUGACCUGAUCCCUGGCAGUAAAACAUAUUUUUACUGUGAUUUUCUCUGGUGGGUUUUUUUUAGAACCCCAUUCAACUUUGAAGACUGUCCAGCUGCACAUCAUCGCAGGCCUGGAUUGGAUUGCUGAGCUCCAGGUUUCAACCCAAGACCUGGGACUGCUGGAGCCGCUGCCUACUUUGCACUGGAUAAGAUAAGAUUUUGAAUCCAAAGAAACACAUGGCCAUUUAACAAAGACUUGACUGACUGACUUAAAUUACUGAACUAAAAAAAAAAAACUAAACUUCCAAAGGACGAACUGAACUAUAAGGAAUCUGUACCAAAAGAAAAUACACUGCCUGAUAUAAAAAAGGUGGACACUUUAUGUUGGGAAAAAGAACUGUACAGUAACAUUCUGUUUCAAGUUGUAUUAAAUAAUCUGUUCAUUCUUGAUAA
Cyprinodon tularosa is the source of this 504-nucleotide long non-coding RNA. RefSeq lists it as uncharacterized. The transcript has 2 exons. The record is from RefSeq and is a predicted model, not a curated record. Lineage: Eukaryota; Metazoa; Chordata; Actinopteri; Cyprinodontiformes; Cyprinodontidae.